CGGAGAAGGCGGGUGCGAGGGGCGGACCCGGCUGCCACCCCGCGCCUGACCGCUGGCAGCGCGACCCCAGCCUGGCCUGCGCCCCGGGGGCCAUCCUCGGCCCAGGCCCAGGAUUUUAAUGAAAAUCAACAUUACCUCCUCCCCUUGUGAGCUGGUUUUGUAACCAUGUCUGCGAAGGACUCUGAGGAAACUUUGUUCAUUAAGAGCUUGAGAUCUUAGCUCUGGAGCAAUUGGGAGUGGCCAGUUACUUCGACCCCUGAGCCUACACUGUACUGGACAGGUGAAUGGAAGAGCCAGGAAAAAUGAAGCAUCACGGACAAUAAACAAGGCUCAUGGGAAUUAGAUUGUUACAAACUCGUGGAUGCACAAGCAGUUAACAUUGAAUCCUCCAAAUGAGUCAUUGCACCGUUAUUACUCAAGGCAAGUCUAGGUCCAUUGGGCAGGAAAGUUAUCUGAAUGUGACAUCAACAUCACACCCCAUCCCUGGAAAAGGGCGCCUUCCCCAACUCUGCAAAGAGAACAGGUCCAGAUCAAUGUACUUUGCUCGCCCCCUCGCUCUCUCUCCAAAUGAGACUGGAGGGAGCCGUGUCCCUGAGACUGCCUCACUGCAUUGGAAUGUCUGAGCUAACAGUGCUUCCAGAGGGUUCAUUGCUCCUCUAAACAGCACUGCCCAGACUUUUUUAAUUCACUCUCCAACCUCGCCAACAGUUGCACACAAGGUGCCUUUUUUACACCCUGCUCUCUGUUCAGUGAAACACGCAGACCAUCUCAGGGGAACAAUGGCUCCAUUCAAGACUUUUUCAAAAGUGCAGCAUAUAACCUCCAUGCUGUGGGUUGCUGCCAGCCAUUAUCUGGAGGAAGAAAGACUGUCAGAUAAAAUGCCUGUGAAUUGGGGGAGCACUGGACAGUUUCCAUGGAAAAUUCGGCUUCAAUAAACUUAGUUAUGCAUCUUUCUGUACAAGACCAUUCUGCACACUCAAAAACAACAACAAAAACAAAAGCCCCAAGAAAUAAUGCUGUGGAAACUUUAUUUAAAUAUCGUGCAUCUAUAAUUGAAAUUUCAGCAGAGAGCACACAUCUCUUUUGAACGUGUUACAUAAUGGUCUCUAUUCGAUGGAAAUUGAUUUAAACAAGUUCUAAAUGUUGCAACUACAGAAUGUAAGUUAUAAAAUCAUUUUAAGAAAUGGAAUCAUAUCCCUACUUUCUUCUUCUUCCAUUCUGUAAUUUUUCAGAUGGGGGAAUGGUCUCUGACUUCAUAGUUGUUGAUGCCAACAGGAGGCCCCACAACCCCUACUACACAUAUUACAGAAAAAAAAGAUUGGCCCUUUGCCACAUUCAAAAAGCCAGCCAUCAGCUAACCCACAAACAAACCUUCUGAGGUUAGGAACUGAGUAGUCAGCACAGGCACCAUGGACACAUGCAUUGAUCUUUCUUAAAUGGAAGCUAAUUGCCAAGUAGAGGAAUUUGCCAACAGACAUCUGGGUAGCCUUGAAAACCAAGGAAGAACUGAAGGAACAAGCCAGCCCUUAGUUUAGGAGUUGCCAUUUCCUCACAUUCAAAGUCACUGCAUCAGAUUGUACUGGGUUUACCAGCUGUCUGCAAAUAUACUAGUGAGUUCAAACAGUGGAAAGAGAGCCAAAAACAAGUUUCCCAGAGUUAUCUGAUAUGUGAGAGUAGAAGUACUAAGGCAGUUUGAUGUUGAUGAAAAACAAUCUUGUUAAAGCAGUAGGUAGCUCCAUUUCUAUGAGGUAGUUAGGAGUGAGGGUGGAGGACGUCUGGUAAAAAGAGUGUGUGAAGCAGGAGAGACAAUCCUACAGAGUUUCUCUCACAUCGCCAGUGUUAGGGGCACAGACUCGAGUGUGGGACCACUUGAGUUGAAACACCAGAUUCACCCUCCAGGUAUGAGCCCUCCAGCAAGUUAUGAGGUGAGAUAAAAAAAAAAUACAGUGAAUGUUUAAAUUUUAA
Long non-coding RNA from Hipposideros armiger (great roundleaf bat), 1965 nucleotides. RefSeq lists it as uncharacterized. The transcript has 3 exons. Lineage: Eukaryota; Metazoa; Chordata; Mammalia; Chiroptera; Hipposideridae. The record is from RefSeq and is a predicted model, not a curated record.